This 71-nucleotide transfer RNA is filed under the name Marmota marmota marmota (Alpine marmot). It matches the Rfam family "tRNA". Rfam says of the family: Transfer RNA (tRNA) molecules are approximately 80 nucleotides in length. Their secondary structure includes four short double-helical elements and three loops (D, anti-codon, and T loops). The record is from Rfam by way of RNAcentral. RNAcentral also lists the same sequence under 2 other names. Lineage: Eukaryota; Metazoa; Chordata; Mammalia; Rodentia; Sciuridae.
GUGGCUGUGGCUCAGUGAUAGAGCACUCACCUGGCAUGUGUGAGGCACUGGGUUCUAUUCUCAGCACCACA